GUCUGUAUAUAUUAUUUACUAUUUAGUAGUAUUGCACCCUCUCCACUUAGAACUUAAGAUUAUAAUCAAGCUAAUGCUGAUCUCUACUGCUUUUAUUUGUUUACUAUAGAAGUUCCCUUGGUACAAAGAAAAAAGAAGUAACGCUGAACUUUGUCACAACUGGAUAUGACUUUCAGGUCAUGGGUUAUUCUGACACUGAUGUUGCUGAGUAUCUGUUUAAAGCCAAGCCUCAGAUUGAUUCACUCAUUGGAUAGAUCUGUACUAAUUCAAAUAGAAAAUCAAUUUGGAUAGAUCUGUACUCAAGUUAUGCUGAUGACUUAUCACUUGUUCCCUUGGUUUAGCAAUCUAGAUGCCAGAUUCUUUUUUCAUUCUAUAAGCUAAGAUCUUUUAUAAAUGAAACUGAAGAGUUCAACAAAAGCCAGUUUAAAGCAAAAAAUAAAUUUAAAAAAAAAAAGGGAGGAAUUAUUUCCCGUUGUGCACAGAGAAAUAAAGAAAAAAUACAGAUAAGACACAUAAAUUGGAAUCCUGUUACAUUGAGUUUGGUAAAUUUUCAGUUCUGAUAUUCUUUUGGUGUUUCUAUGCAAGAAAGUUCACACAAUUGUGUUCUGUAAGAUGGAAUGCCUGCAUUGCGUUGGUUUGUGGCAAUUGUGUUGUCUGGAAAGGAGCUCCCACAACUCCAUUGAUCACCAUAGCAAUGACAAGAGAUAGUGGCUGAGGUUCUUGAAAAGAAUAACUUACCAAGUGCAAUUUUCAUUACUUUCUGUGGUGGUGCUGAAAUAGGGCAAGGAAUAGCGAAAGAUACAUGUAUACCAUUGGUUUCGUUCACUGGAAGCUCUAAGUUUUGUUAGGGUGGAAGAAGACGAUGGCGAGGAAAGUUUAUGUUGUUUUUUAGGGGUACAACCAAGGAAUAUACCAGACUUGGCUGGAAUGCAGCGUGCAAGUCACUAGGUAUCCAAAAGCUGUAUUUCAGUCAUUGUACUUUAGCUGAAGCAGAACAAGAUUGGCAUGCCCUUCAGUCAAGAAGCAACAUUUACAAGGAAGGGAGAUCUUCACAAGGGAAUUCCUUCAUUGAAAAUACUGAAUUUUUAGGAACGAGCACUAGAUGUUUGGAUGAGAUUCCUUCAAAUGGAAAUAAACCCUCUAAACGUGUUGUGUGUGGAGGGAUUUCCUUGUUUCUUGCCUUGUUUUUCUUAUUUGUUGGAAUCAUAAUUGGAUAUUGUAUUCCCCACUGAAUCUUCUAUGUAACGCUUGACGAUUUAAGUUUAUGAAUUAGUAUCUUAUUUCAAUGAGAUUUGCCUUUUUAUUAA
Molecule: long non-coding RNA, 1307 nt
Organism: Macadamia integrifolia
Lineage: Eukaryota; Viridiplantae; Streptophyta; Magnoliopsida; Proteales; Proteaceae
Exons: 3
Source: RefSeq, a predicted model, not a curated record